This 253-nucleotide ribosomal RNA is filed under the name uncultured bacterium. RNAcentral describes it as "partial 16S ribosomal RNA". It matches the Rfam family "Bacterial small subunit ribosomal RNA", at positions 524 to 776 of the family's 1533-position model. The record is from RNAcentral.
UACGGGGGGAGCAAGCGUUGUUCGGAUUUACUGGGCGUAAAGGCGCGUAGGCGGCCACCGCAAGUCGACUGUGAAAUCUCCGGGCUUAACUCGGAAAGGUCAGCCGAUACUGCGGGGCUAGAGUGCAGAAGGGGCAACUGGAAUUCUCGGUGUAGCGGUGAAAUGCGUAGAUAUCAGGAGGAAUACCGGUGGCGAAAGCGACUCUCUGGACGGCAACUGACGCUGAGGCACGAAAGCGUGGGGAGCAAACAGG